GGUUUCCGUAGGUGAACCUGCGGAAGGAUCAUUAACACGUAUCCAACGUUAAACUCCCUGUGAACCUUCAUUGUACGAGUUACAUCCACGUCAUAAACCGGCAAUCUCUGGUAAAUCAUCGCCGAACAGUUUUGAUUCAGAGACCUCUGGGAAGGGUGUACGGUAGUGCGAGGCAUUCCUCUGCUUGUUAGUGUCUGAAAGUGUCACUAGCUAUGUACGGAUGGCGCAGGAACGAUCGCUGGAGGCCGACACGGCCGGCGACCAGGUCACUGGGCUACGGCCCCCCUGAUCACAACCUUUGCAUGAAAACGGGCCUGCGCUGAGGUGCGGCCACCCCUAAUGCUUGAACAACUGUUAACAAUGGAUAUCUUGGUUCUC
RNAcentral lists this unclassified non-coding RNA (378 nucleotides) under fungal sp. RNAcentral describes it as "partial internal transcribed spacer region". Lineage: Eukaryota; Fungi. The record is from RNAcentral.